RNAcentral lists this ribosomal RNA (910 nucleotides) under uncultured bacterium. RNAcentral's name for it is "bacterial SSU rRNA". It matches the Rfam family "Bacterial small subunit ribosomal RNA", at positions 33 to 917 of the family's 1533-position model. The record is from RNAcentral.
ACGCUGGCGGCGUGCCUAAUACAUGCAAGUGGGACGCAAGGAAACACACUGUGCUUGCACACCGUGUUUUCUUGAGUCGCGAACGGGUGAGUAACGCGUAGGUAACCUGCCUAUUAGCGGGGGAUAACUAUUGGAAACGAUAGCUAAUACCGCAUAAUAUUAAUUAUUGCAUGAUAAUUGAUUGAAAGAUGCAAGCGCAUCACUAGUAGAUGGACCUGCGUUGUAUUAGCUAGUUGGUAAGGUAAGAGCUUACCAAGGCGACGAUACAUAGCCGACCUGAGAGGGUGAUCGGCCACACUGGGACUGAGACACGGCCCAGACUCCUACGGGAGGCAGCAGUAGGGAAUCUUCGGCAAUGGACGAAAGUCUGACCGAGCAACGCCGCGUGAGUGAAGAAGGUUUUCGGAUCGUAAAGCUCUGUUGUAAGUCAAGAACGUGUGUGAGAGUGGAAAGUUCACACAGUGACGGUAGCUUACCAGAAAGGGACGGCUAACUACGUGCCAGCAGCCGCGGUAAUACGUAGGUCCCGAGCGUUGUCCGGAUUUAUUGGGCGUAAAGGGAGCGCAGGCGGUCAGGAAAGUCUGGAGUAAAAGGCUAUGGCUCAACCAUAGUGUGCUCUGGAAACUGUCUGACUUGAGUGCAGAAGGGGAGAGUGGAAUUCCAUGUGUAGCGGUGAAAUGCGUAGAUAUAUGGAGGAACACCAGUGGCGAAAGCGGCUCUCUGGUCUGUCACUGACGCUGAGGCUCGAAAGCGUGGGUAGCGAACAGGAUUAGAUACCCUGGUAGUCCACGCCGUAAACGAUGAGUGCUAGGUGUUAGGCCCUUUCCGGGGCUUAGUGCCGGAGCUAACGCAAUAAGCACUCCGCCUGGGGAGUACGACCGCAAGGUUUAAACUCAAAGGAAUUGACGGG